CCUGGUGGCUCAGAAGGAAAAGCAUCUGCCUGCAAUGCAGGAGACCCAGGUUCGAUCCCUGGGUCAGGA
Molecule: transfer RNA, 69 nt
Filed under: Ovis aries (sheep)
Lineage: Eukaryota; Metazoa; Chordata; Mammalia; Artiodactyla; Bovidae
Rfam family: tRNA
About the family: Transfer RNA (tRNA) molecules are approximately 80 nucleotides in length. Their secondary structure includes four short double-helical elements and three loops (D, anti-codon, and T loops).
Source: Rfam by way of RNAcentral